CUCCAUGGUAUUCCUGGUCUUCAGAAACUGAAGCUGGAAAUAGGCAACCUGACUGAGAGCUGGGCUACCAGGAUCCUCUCCUUUAGCUCCUGUCCCAGUCUUAACAAAAUCUGUGUGACUACCUUGCACAUGUUAAUGGAGGAUGCGAUCUUACAAAUAAAGAAGAAGUGGAAGCAUCGUGACUGCGUUGUGGUUCUGAAAGGACUGAGAUGCAGCAACUCAGCUGCCAGAUGCACAGAAGAAAACUGGACACCGCACACUUAUCUACAGUGCAACGACAUGGUGAAGCUAUCACUCUGUGGAGGCUUUUGUUCACAGCUGGAUGGGUGUUACAAGACAGACAGUGAGAGUGAAGCAGACACUUAUGAUUACAGGUUUGACUUAAAUGAAGAUCAACCAGAUGCUCAGGAACCUGAAUGGGCAGAAGAGGAAUUAACUGAAGACUAUGAUAUAUUCGAGUUCUAAUGAAAUAUAUUAGCGACUGAAAUCAUCUCCAGGGUAAGCCUAAUAGUCUUUCUAAUGGUACAAUGUGUUUUGCAACUGCUACGUACACGCUGAUCUAAUCUAUGAUGAGAAAUGUGGGAUAUCAAAAGUCUACAGAAAGAUGAAGAUCCCAAAAAAAAAAUUCUCACCUGCAAAAUAAAACAAUUGAAAGCUUGAAUCAAAUAUGUACUAUGUAAACGUAUUAUAACACAGUGUUUUACUUUUUUUUUGCUCUAUUUAAGCACUUAUUUUAAUUAGCUUUUGUAGGAUUACAAUUACCAAAAUGUGGUAGAACCUAUGGUGGA
This is a long non-coding RNA of Colossoma macropomum (tambaqui), 788 nucleotides long. RefSeq lists it as uncharacterized. Lineage: Eukaryota; Metazoa; Chordata; Actinopteri; Characiformes; Serrasalmidae. The transcript has 3 exons. The record is from RefSeq and is a predicted model, not a curated record.